RNAcentral lists this ribosomal RNA (446 nucleotides) under uncultured bacterium. Its description in RNAcentral is "partial 16S ribosomal RNA". It matches the Rfam family "Bacterial small subunit ribosomal RNA", at positions 338 to 795 of the family's 1533-position model. The record is from RNAcentral.
CCUACGGGAGGCAGCAGUCGAGAAUCAUUCACAAUGGGGGAAACCCUGAUGGUGCGACGCCGCGUGGGGGAAUGAAGGUCUUCGGAUUGUAAACCCCUGUCAUGUGGGAGCAAAUUAAAAAGAUAGUACCACAAGAGGAAGAGACGGCUAACUCUGUGCCAGCAGCCGCGGUAAUACAGAGGUCUCAAGCGUUGUUCGGAAUCACUGGGCGUAACGCGUGCGUAGGCUGUUUCGUAAGUCGUGUGUGAAAGGCGCGGGCUCAACCCGCGGACGGCACAUGAUACUGCGAGACUAGAGUAAUGGAAGGGGAACCGGAAUUCUCGGUGUAGCAGUGAAAUGCGUAGAUAUCGAGAGGAACACUCGUGGCGAAGGCGGGUUCCUGGACAUUAACUGACGCUGAGGCACGAAGGCCAGGGGAGCGAAAGGGAUUAGAUACCCCUGUAGUC